AUUGAACGCUGGCGGCAUGCCUUACACAUGCAAGUCGAACGGUAACAGGUCUUCGGAUGCUGACGAGUGGCGAACGGGUGAGUAAUACAUCGGAACGUGCCUAGUAGGGGGGGAUAACUACUCGAAAGAGUGGCUAAUACCGCAUGAGAUCUACGGAUGAAAGCAGGGGAUCGGAAGACCUUGGGCUACUAGAGCGGCCGAUGGCAGAUUAGGUAGUUGGUGGGAUAAAAGCUUACCAAGCCGACGAUCUGUAGCUGGUCUGAGAGGACGAUCAGCCACACUGGGACUGAGACACGGCCCAGACUCCUACGGGAGGCAGCAGUGGGGAAUUUUGGACAAUGGGCGCAAGCCUGAUCCAGCAAUGCCGCGUGCAGGAUGAAGGCCUUCGGGUUGUAAACUGCUUUUGUACGGAACGAAAAGCCCCGGGUUAAUACCCUGGGGUCAUGACGGUACCGUAAGAAUAAGCACCGGCUAACUACGUGCCAGCAGCCGCGGUAA
Molecule: ribosomal RNA, 498 nt
Filed under: uncultured bacterium
Lineage: Bacteria
Description: partial 16S ribosomal RNA
Rfam family: Bacterial small subunit ribosomal RNA
Source: RNAcentral